GGGUGAUUAGCUCAGUUGGUUCAGAGCACUACCUUGACAGGGUAGGGGUCACUGGUUCGAAUCCAGUAUGUCUCA
This 75-nucleotide transfer RNA is filed under the name Cryomorphaceae bacterium. Its description in RNAcentral is "tRNA-Val". It matches the Rfam family "tRNA". Rfam says of the family: Transfer RNA (tRNA) molecules are approximately 80 nucleotides in length. Lineage: Bacteria; Pseudomonadati; Bacteroidota; Flavobacteriia; Flavobacteriales; Cryomorphaceae. The record is from RNAcentral.